CAUAUUCAUUAUCAUCUUAAGUUUAGAAGUUGCAACUGUUAUAUUCAAAGGAUGAAGAAAAUAUACAAUAUUAUACGACAUAGCUGGCAGGUUCUAAUAUUAAUUUUGUAUGACACAGCUUGCGUACAUCCAGGUUCACCAUACCGUUCUAAUAUCAUAACGGGAAAGACAUCAAUUAUUCCGGGAAAAGUUGACAAGUCUCUUCAUGUGCAGUGUCCUUUCGCACAUACAAGAACAGUUCUGAAAAGAGAUGCACUGAUCGUAAAAGAGUCAAGGCGUGGUUCUCUAGAAUAUUCCCUUAUUCCAAGAAAAGAAGAUCACGGUUCAACGUUUUCAUGAGACAUGUAUAAUUCGGCUGUUCGUAUAAGAUGGAAGACCACUGCUUCGCUUGAUAUCAGUUAUGAACCGUAUUUGUCUAUGAACUAUACAUCAAAACGUGUUUUUGAGGGACAAUCCGUAACACUAUGCUGCAGCUCCGAUAGUCGACCGCCAACAAUAGAAAUGUGGUGGGUCAUGGGAGGUAGAGUUCUGUCUUCAAAAUAUGAUACAGACUUCUUAUGUCAUGAAAUAACAAGUACCAGUCGUGGGGAUAGCGGUAGUUACAAAUGUUUUGCCGAAAACGAGGUUGGAACUGUAAAUGAUGAAGUAAUUAUUACCG
This is a long non-coding RNA of Mytilus trossulus (common blue mussel), 658 nucleotides long. RefSeq lists it as uncharacterized. The transcript is spliced from 3 exons. The record is from RefSeq and is a predicted model, not a curated record. NCBI's taxonomy places the organism in Eukaryota, Metazoa, Mollusca, Bivalvia, Mytilida, Mytilidae.